GUCCUUUGCCACGUCAAGCCUCCAGCAAGGUGGACGCAUCGGAGUGACUUUUUUUUGUGGUCUUUUUUUAAAUUUUUUUAACUAGAAUGGGGAAAAGUUAGUGUUUGGCUGGCUGGUACCAUCAAAGUGAGGAGCCAAAGAUGUAAAAAAAACCUAAAAACAAAAAAAAAAACCUAAGAGGCUCUAAUCCAAGAUGCGAGGAAUGCGCCUCACAGCGGGAAGCGGGAGGGGACCUCUCAUAAUCUGCCAAUCAGUGGCUAUUACCUCCGUCUCACCUCUCCUCCUCCUCUUCUUCCUCCUCCUCCCCCUCAUCUAUAGCCCAGCUCUGGUAAGUAGAAGCAUCCACACUUUUUUAGAAAAAGAUAAAAAAAAAUAACCCAAAAGGACUGACCAGCGAGCAUCCUUUGAGCCCGGCCCGCCUGCCCAGUGUUCAGACUACCUGUUCAGGAAGUAGUGGUUGUACAGUAGUCUGCACAUUGGUUAGGCUGGCUUCGGGGAAGCACGGGACCAGAAGGACCAGCAGAUGGAGACGUAUAAAACCACCUCACCAAUGUACCACCACCACCGCAAAAAUCUUGAAUACUGAUGCCUGGCCUUAAAUGCAUCAAAAAACAACAACGACAACAAUGGAGAACCUGCGGCAGUGAACUUGCUCUUAAUGUCAUAAAUUAUUAUCAUGUAUUUGUUUGUGAUGAUCGACCUAUAAAACGUGAAAUAAAGAUGCUUCCAUUUGUAA
Molecule: long non-coding RNA, 736 nt
Organism: Nerophis ophidion (straightnose pipefish)
Lineage: Eukaryota; Metazoa; Chordata; Actinopteri; Syngnathiformes; Syngnathidae
Exons: 2
Source: RefSeq, a predicted model, not a curated record